This is a long non-coding RNA of Heterocephalus glaber (naked mole-rat), 3934 nucleotides long. NCBI's taxonomy places the organism in Eukaryota, Metazoa, Chordata, Mammalia, Rodentia, Bathyergidae. The record is from Ensembl.
CUUGUUAAACACACAGACCCAGGCAUCAGUGCAGCACAACAGUCUUGGAAAUUUGUGUUGUUACUAAGGGUCCCAGGGCAUUGAGGACUCACUGGCCUAAGACAUUGACUUCUGUGGCAGGAUCUGAAGGACUGGUUACAGGCCUAAUGAUCCAGUGAGGAUAGGUGUGAGUAACCUGAAGGCCUGGCUGGAGCACCUGAGACUUUCAUUCACCUAAUUCACAAGCCUCAGUGUCCAUCCAAGAAAUAGACUGAGAACUGAGAAUUCUCCACUGUGCUCCAGAAGAUCCUAAAUCACCAGAUCUAGGAGAAUGCAACAAAUAGUUUGAGAAGCACUUAUAAAUUAAGAUGUAGUGUCAUCUUCAAUCCUUGCUCGAAGGCCAGCCUUAUGCAAGAAGUAUAAGGUGGUACCGAACCAAAAGAAGGAUAGGAGCUGAGACCGGAGCUCCCUUAUUCCCAGCCGUGAGUGAGUAGGCUUCCGUGCCACCCAUGAUUCUCAUGAUCAUGGCCUUUGCAAUCACCUGACCCUCACUACACAAGAAAGGAAUUGAAACGGACGUUCCGAGAGGAACUGUACGGAGACAUUGGCCAGAAUAGUCAUUUACAAAAAGAUAAAUCUCGGAUUACAUAGUAUUGCUAUAUCAUCUUAUCUAAGUGACAAAAGCUCAGUUUGAUCUUGCACGUAUAGUCUGAUUGACCGUCCUGACUGCCUUGUGAGGCUGUACCACAGGGCACAGACUGCUUUCUAGAGACCAGUUGCACUCAAUGUCUUUGGGAAACUCAUAUUGGGACAGAAACAAAGCCACAUCUCCUACCUGGUGUCUGGGUGGACAGAGCUUCCAGAAGCAGGCAAAAGUGCAGGACUCAAAACUCCAUGUCAGUGAGGACAAAAAGCCUAUGAAGCAUAUGCUCAUUUGCACCAGAUGAUACAGCUUAUUCACAGAAGAAAACAGCAAAUUAGUAUAUUGUUGAUACUUGGAGUAUCGUAUUGUGGUACUGAGGAUUAAACCCAUAGCCUCAGCAUUGAGCUAUAUCCUCAGCCACCUCCCUUUAAUCUGAGAUAGGGUGUCACUAUCUAAACCACUAAAUUACCAGGCUGGGUUAGAAUUUGUGAUCCUUCUUCCUCAGCUUCCCAGAAGCUGGGAUUCCAGCUAUGGACCACCACACCCAACUGUACUUAGGAUGUCUUGAGACCACAACAAAUAGAUAAAGUAAAAGCUUCUUGGUUUAUAAAACCAAGUCAAUAUUCAAAAAGGACCAAAGACAAUGAAACAGGCAAAAAGAUAAAAAGUAUUUGUGCCCAAGAAUUUUCCAGAAAAUUGUGAAGGAUUUUCACAUUUUAAAAGACCAGUCAAAUUCAUCUCAGAAGAAAAUAAACAUAAAUUAGAGGAUUAUAUUUAAUUCUAAAGCAUAGUGGAGGGUAUUAGAUGGCUUUGUAAACACUGAAAACUUUACUACAGUUUAAAUCCCUCAAAUGAAUUGGAAAUAUUUUCUUUUAAUGGGAAAGAACAAUAGGUGUGGUUUGCAACAAAUAACUACACCCCUUGGAAAAAGUUUUUCAUGUGGUAGAGGAAGAAUGGAAAAGGUGUGGAGUUCACCUUGUCCUGGACCCCUGCCUUCCUUUCCCAUCUUGGAGUCGGCAGGGCCUCUCCCUUUUCUGGAGGUCUUUCUCUUGAAUUCCAGCACCAGGAAAGUCCAUUUCUUUGUGUCUGGCAGUCAUGAUAGAUUUCAUCAGCCAAUCACUGUUUCAUUGGGUUCCACUGGUGAUGUGAGAGACAGGAAAAGAGAGAGAGAAAAUAAGUACUCUUCAGCAUAGCCAGAGUUAAUCAAUCCUUACAAAAGCAAAAGAUACAGCCUUGAGAUCACAAAUAUCAUUUGGAUAUCAUUCCUAAUAGUGCAUCUCCUUUCUAGUCUUUAGCCCCCACUCUGUUACCUUGCCUUAGUUAGAAAGCAAAUUUUGUGAGAGAUAAUGGAGACGGGGGAAAGUCUAUACUUGAAAUGAAAAUUUCUUUCCCAUAUGUAUUAGUUCAUUUCCCGUUACUGUGAUGAAAUAGCUGGAUAAUGCACAAUGAAAAGAGAUUUAUGCAGCUCACAGUCUUGGAAACUGAAAAUCCAAGAUCAGACGGCCCCAUGUGAUCAGCCCUUGGUGAGGAGCUCAUGGUGCAUGGCUUCAUGGCAAGAGUAAGUGUGGGAAUGAGAGGUCACAGUGAGAUGGGAAGCAAGGGCAGAGGAGAGUCGGACGUGUGUGCUUGCAACAACCUUCUCUCAAGAACUGACUGGGUUCCCUUGAGAACUGUUUCAUGCCUUCUAUGGGUAGUUCCCUGAUAACCUGACUCUUAAAAGUCCUUCUCCACACAGGCAACCAAGCCUGCAACCCAUGAACCCUGGGGACAACUCACACCAUGUCCAAACCAUAGAACCAUGAAGUUUUGUUUGUAUGAACAACUCAAUUUAGGACUCUUAUUUUGGACCCGUAGAACUUUCAAUAAUUUAUAAUAAAUACCCUAAAGAAAAAAAAAAACUUUGCUGAAACUCAAAAUCUGCCACAGUUACCUUGUACUUGCAAAAUAAAGAGGUCACGUACAGAUGGGUUUCAAGGGCAAGUUAAAAUUUUAAGAUGUAUUUAUCUAAAUUCAUUUGAUAUCUUCCUAUGUACUAAAAGAAUAAUCAAUCCUUCUCACUUGGAAGCCACAGGGAAUCAAGGGAAGCAGGAAAAUGCUCUUGUUUUUGGCCAUGUGUAGCCAUAUAGCAAUGUUCCCUCUGUCUGUCCCUAAUCCCUCCUAUAUGCAUUGGAGGCAAUGAGAAAGACUGGAAACUAAUAUGAUUGUAUUGGUUUAUGCUACCAAAAGUGACUCCUGACUUCUGCUUUUCCCAGUGGCUAACAGAUAGAAGAGUGUUUUUCCACAAGUGUGGAGAAAACCUACAACUGAAUUAUAGUGAAGACGUAGUAAGGCUUGGGGGGCUUCAUACAGAUUGGCCUUUUUUGUUCUUCUUUUAUGAUACAUGUUAAGAUCUUAAAUUAUGGGUAUAGUUGGAACAACCAUUGAUAGAUACUAAAAAUUCUUAGAAAUCUAGUGAUCCAUUCUGUUAUUUUUAAAAAGAAGAUCUAAUGGAUGAUAUUUAAUCAAUUGGUAGAUUACCAGGAAUGACAUCUGUUAUUUCACUCACUCUGAACCUUAGGACAAAGCUCCAUAAAUGAUUGUUGUUGAAUUAAGAAACGAGAAUUUAAUAUAGAAUAAAGCCACAUUUUAAAUUAAUGGAAACUGAUGGAUUUUUUCCUAGAAAAUAAUAUUGGCUAGUCAUACUUUCAUAUGUUAUACCACAGAAAAAUAUUUUUCGGGUGGAUGAAAGAGCCAAAUGUAAAGACAAGAACUAUAGGUGAAUUAGGAGAAAAUAAAGGAAACUCUCUCUGUAAGCCCAAUAUGGGGACAGUCUUCCUAAAAACUACACAAAAUGCAAAACCUAUAAGAGGAGAGAAAAUCAAAUUGGUUGACUUUACAAGAAAAUAUUUCUACAAAAUGAAUGAAAUCAUAGAUAACAAGAAAACACACAAAACAAUAUGGUAGAACAUAUUUACAAAACACAUAACUGUGUAAGGAAAGGCAAAGCAUACCACAGAAAACAAAUGUUAAGGGAUAUGAGUAGCUAAUCCACAGAGGGAGACACAAAUGGUCAGUUAGAACUUGAAGAUAUGCAACCUCCUCAGUAGCCAGGAAAACAAAGAUUUAAAAAAAUGACUUUGUUUCCAUCUUUUUCCAUUUCUCAUAUUUUUUUACUUUCCCUUCUUUCCUUUCCCCUACCCCUCCUACUCCCCCUACCCCUGACUCUUUAGACCUUUCCUUCCUAUCUCACAUUAUCAAUUAUACAUUUUGAUCCUAAUUUACACUUUUAGUAAAGUCUUUGUAAAGUCGGAGGGGUGGGUGGUUUGAAGGGAG